RNAcentral lists this long non-coding RNA (469 nucleotides) under Manihot esculenta (cassava). Its description in RNAcentral is "long non-coding RNA (MESC_LNC005756)". The record is from RNAcentral. Lineage: Eukaryota; Viridiplantae; Streptophyta; Magnoliopsida; Malpighiales; Euphorbiaceae.
UUUCUGUAAUCACAUUAUGUUUAUUCAUUUUCUAUAAUCAGGGAUGGUAGCGGUAGGGUAUCCACGAAAAUUACCCCACACGAACCUUAAUGUUUCCAGAUUUUCACAUAAGUUGAUCAUAUAAAGUGAUUCAGUGCCCGAAAUAUCCACACCUUAUGCGGCCUUAUCCCUUCAUUUUCCUUGAUCAGUAAAGCAUAGGGAUGGCAGCUGUAGGGUACCCAUGAAAAUCAUGUACUCAAACCUUAAUGUUUCCGGAUUUUCAUAUAAGUUGAUCAUAUAAAGUGAUUCAGUGUCCGAAACAUCCACACCUUAUGCAGCCUUAUCCCUUCAUUUUCCGUGAUCAGUAAAGCAUAGGAAUGGCAUCGGUAGGUACCCACGAAAAUCACCUACCCGAACCUUAAUGUUUCCGGGUAGGGCACCUGCGAAAAUCGCCUUACUUGAACCUGAAUGUUUCUUCACUGCACCUAAU